UCGAGGAUCUUCGGCAAUGGGCGCAAGCCUGACCGAGCGACGCCGCGUGCGCGAUGAAGGCCUUCGGGUUGUAAAGCGCUGUCGAGGGGGAGAAAACCGCAAGGUUGAUCUAUCCCUGGAGGAAGCACGGGCUAAGUUCGUGCCAGCAGCCGCGGUAAGACGAACCGUGCGAACGUUGUUCGGAAUCACUGGGCUUAAAGGGCGCGUAGGCGGGCUGCCAAGUCCGGGGUGAAAGCUUUCGGCUCAACCGGAAAAGUGCCUUGGAUACUGGCGGUCUCGAGGGAGGUAGGGGCAUGUGGAACUUCCGGUGGAGCGGUGAAAUGCGUUGAUAUCGGAAGGAACGCCGGUGGCGAAAGCGACGUGCUGGACCUCUUCUGACGCUGAGGCGCGAAAGCUAGGGGAGCGAACGGGAUUAGAUACCCCCGUAGUCC
RNAcentral lists this ribosomal RNA (431 nucleotides) under uncultured bacterium. RNAcentral's name for it is "bacterial SSU rRNA". It matches the Rfam family "Bacterial small subunit ribosomal RNA", at positions 355 to 796 of the family's 1533-position model. The record is from RNAcentral.